Molecule: RNA transcript, 1840 nt
Organism: Phoenix dactylifera (date palm)
Lineage: Eukaryota; Viridiplantae; Streptophyta; Magnoliopsida; Arecales; Arecaceae
Gene name: inositol-tetrakisphosphate 1-kinase 5-like
Source: RefSeq, a predicted model, not a curated record
GGCGUAUCGCCCGCUCGUUGCUCUUUUUUAUCCGCUCCUCCUCAGAGAAAGAGAGCGGGAGAGCGCGCGAGCGAGCGAGCAAACCCUAAUUUCUCUCCCUUCUCUUCAUGUUUCUUCUCCGGACAUCGGAGAGCGAGGAGGAAUUUGCGCCGCUCCCAUUGAUCCUGAGCUGCUCGCUAUGGCGGAGCACCUCCGGCGAAGGUUCGUGAUAGGGUACGCCCUCGCCCCCAAGAAGCAGCAGAGCUUCAUACAGCCGUCGCUCGUCGGCCUCGCCGCCGGUCGUGGCAUCGAUCUCGUACCCAUCGACCCGUGCCGUGCCCUCGCCGACCAGGGCCCCUUUGACUGCAUCAUCCACAAGCUCUACGGCGACGACUGGAAGGCCCAGCUCGAGGACUUCGCUUUCCGGCACCCCGACGUUCCCGUCGUCGACUCCCCCCAUGCCAUCGAGCGCCUCCACAACCGCAUUUCCAUGCUCCAAGUCGUCUCCGAGCUUGAGAUCCCCCAAGACCAGGAGACCUUCGGGAUCCCCAGCCAGGUCGUGAUCUACGAUUCUGGCGCCCUGUCCAACUCCGGCGUUGUCGGCGCCCUCCGCUUCCCCGUCAUCGCCAAGCCCCUCGUCGCUGAUGGCAGCGCUAAGUCCCACAAGAUGUCCCUCGUCUACCACCGCGACGGCCUCCUCAAGCUCAAGCCGCCACUAGUCCUCCAGGAAUUCGUCAACCAUGGUGGGGUCAUCUUCAAGGUCUACGUUGUUGGGGACUACGUUCAGUGCGUCAAGAGGAAGUCCCUCCCGGACGUCUCCGAUGAGAAGCUGGAGUGCACCGAGGGUUCGAUGUCCUUCUCCCAGGUGUCCAACAUGACAGCGCAAGACCGGACUGAGAAGCAGUACUACGAGACGAUGCACUUGGAGGAGGCCGAGAUGCCGCCGCUGAGCUUCGUCACAGAGAUCGCCCAGGGGCUGAGGCAGGCGAUGGGGCUGCACCUUUUCAAUUUCGAUGUGAUCAGAGAUGUGAAGGUCGGGAACCGGUACCUAGUCAUUGACAUUAACUACUUUCCCGGGUAUGCUAAAAUGCCAUCCUAUGAAACAGUUUUGACAGAGUUCUUUUGGAAUAUCGUUCAUGAAAAGGAGGAAGAAGAUGGAUCAAAUGCAGCUCCGAAAGAUGUUGAUAAUGAAAUAGAGCUUUUGGGAGGUAAUUUCAGCAAGACUGCGGGAGAAGUGGAGAAUGCAGGCUGAGAUCUGAAAAUUCGUAUUAUUGUUGUUUUUGUCGAGCACUCAAAGUAACACGAUCCACAUCCCUAUUGAUUUCUGUUGCUGCUGCCAAGUACUGGUAGAAUGUGCAAUAAAGGUUUUGCUGCAGUGCUUAUUUGGAGUCCUCAAGGUCGGGAGGUUGGAGCACCGACGGCUCCCAUAUUGAUUUUGUGGACUGUUUUUUCGUGGUGUUGAUUGAAGAAAUCAAAAAACAGGGAAUGAUUUAAAGCUUGAUGACCAAUUUUCAUCUCAUAAAUGUGGGAAGAGUUUAUGUACUAGGACAGAAGAGUAGGAAUCAGUCGAUUUGAAAGAGCUGUAAGCUAAGCAGCCAGGACUGGAUCGUCAAAAGCUUUUGAGUUCAGUCUUUCAACAUGCAGAGGUGGUGCAACUCAAUGCUAGCUUUCUUGUUGAGUCUAGAAAGAUUAGCUGGCCAUCUUAUUGCAAUCAAGUACAGCAGGAGCUAAGAGCAUUUAUUUUUCAGUAGAUAUAUGUGUUUUAUUACAAAGACCUUUGACAUUCAGAUUUAUUAUUUCAGUGUUUCGGCCAUCUUCUGACAUAAUAAUGAAAAUUUAAUUAUAUUGGUACAUCUUUUUA